AACAGGAUUAGAUACCCUGGUAGUCCACGCCGUAAACGAUGUCGACUUGGAGGUUGUGCCCUUGAGGCGUGGCUUCCGGAGCUAACGCGUUAAGUCGACCGCCUGGGGAGUACGGCCGCAAGGUUAAAACUCAAAUGAAUUGACGGGGGCCCGCACAAGCGGUGGAGCAUGUGGUUUAAUUCGAUGCAACGCGAAGAACCUUACCUGGCCUUGACAUCCACGGAAUUCUGCAGAGAUGCGGAAGUGCCUUCGGGAACCGUGAGACAGGUGCUGCAUGGCUGUCGUCAGCUCGUGUUGUGAAAUGUUGGGUUAAGUCCCGCAACGAGCGCAACCCUUAUCCUUUGUUGCCAGCGAUUUGGUCGGGAACUCAAAGGAGACUGCCGGUGAUAAACCGGAGGAAGGUGGGGAUGACGUCAAGUCAUCAUGGCCCUUACGGCCAGGGCUACACACGUGCUACAAUGGCGCAUACAAAGAGAAGCGACCUCGCGAGAGCAAGCGGACCUCAUAAAGUGCGUCGUAGUCCGGAUCGGAGUCUGCAACUCGACUCCGUGAAGUCGGAAUCGCUAGUAAUCGUGGAUCAGAACGCCACGGUGAAUACGUUCCCGGGCCUUGUACACACCGCCCGUCACACCAUGGGAGUGGGUUGCAAAAGAAGUAGGUAGCUUAACCCUCGGGAGGGCGCUUACCACUUCGUGAUUCAUGACUGGGGUGAAGUCGUAACAAGGUAACC
Molecule: ribosomal RNA, 730 nt
Filed under: uncultured bacterium
Lineage: Bacteria
Description: bacterial SSU rRNA
Rfam family: Bacterial small subunit ribosomal RNA
Source: RNAcentral